GAUGAACGCUGGCGGCGUGCCUAAUACAUGCAAGUCGAGCGAACGGACGAGAAGCUUGCUUCUCUGAUGUUAGCGGCGGACGGGUGAGUAACACGUGGAUAACCUACCUAUAAGACUGGGAUAACUUCGGGAAACCGGAGCUAAUACCGGAUAAUAUUUUGAACCGCAUGGUUCAAAAGUGAAAGACGGUCUUGCUGUCACUUAUAGAUGGAUCCGCGCUGCAUUAGCUAGUUGGUAAGGUAACGGCCUACCAAGGCAACUAUGCAUAGCCGACCUGAGAGGCGGAUCGGCCACCUGGGAACGGGGACACGGUCCAUACUCCUGCGGGAGGCAGCAGUAUGGAAUCUUCCGCAAUGGGCGAAAGCCUGACGGAGCAACGCCGCGUGAGUGAUGAAGGUCUUCGGAUCGUAAAACUCUGUUAUUAGGGAAGAACAUAUGUGUAAGUAACUGUGCACAUCUUGACGGUACCUAAUCAGAAAGCCACGGCUAACUACGUG
RNAcentral lists this ribosomal RNA (497 nucleotides) under uncultured bacterium. RNAcentral's name for it is "partial 16S ribosomal RNA". It matches the Rfam family "Bacterial small subunit ribosomal RNA", at positions 28 to 507 of the family's 1533-position model. The record is from RNAcentral.